Molecule: RNA transcript, 1918 nt
Organism: Ipomoea nil (Japanese morning glory)
Lineage: Eukaryota; Viridiplantae; Streptophyta; Magnoliopsida; Solanales; Convolvulaceae
Gene name: putative transferase At1g60990, chloroplastic
Exons: 14
Source: RefSeq, a predicted model, not a curated record
UGGGCCGGGUGACGGUGGCUUAAGACUUGUCAGUUGACAGUAACGGAGGAGUAGCUGCAGCAGUGCCUCCGCGAGCGACGGAAGGGGAAGGAAGAUAUGUUUUCCGGGAGCUUUACAAGCCUCUCCUUUCUCUCUCCUUCAUCCACACUCGCUCGUUCGCUUCUUCCCGGAGUUACUGCCUUUCACGUUCCUCGCCGCUCCUUCUCUGUCUCCCCUAGUUCCCACAGUUUUCGACUCCAAAACAAUGCAUUUCGGCCGGAGAAUUGGACGCGCAACUACUCUACUGCCGCUUUGCCUUUUGACCUCUCACCACCGCCCAUCGACCACGACCUUAUCGAUACUAUGAAAGUUGCUGGUGCAAAGGUAUUAGAGGGUGACAUAAUUGAGACCUAUGGCAAUGACGAUGAGGCCUUAACUGCAACUGAAAAUGGAGUUGCGGUUGUGGAUCUUUCACAUUAUGGUCGGAUAAGAGUUAGUGGAGAAGACCGAGUUCAGUUUCUUCACAACCAAAGUACUGCAAAUUUUGAAAUUCUUCAUGAAGGACAGGGUUGUGACACUGUUUUUGUUACACCAACAGCUCGUACCAUUGACAUUGCACAUGCAUGGAUUAUGAAAAAUGCAAUAACAUUGGUGACCUCACCAGAGACAAGUGAGAGAAUAACAUCAAUGCUUAGAAAGUACAUAUUUUUUUCUGACAAAGUAGAAAUACAAGAUAUUUCUAAGCAAACGUGCUUUUUCGUACUAGUUGGGCCUAGAAGCAACCAAAUAGUGGAAGGAUUGAAUCUUGGUGACCUUGUUGGACAACCAUAUGGUUCACACAAGCAUUACAGUGUAAAUGGGAAUCCAGUAACUAUAGCAGUGGGAAAUAUCAUAUCAGAAGAAGGUUUUUCACUGUUGGUGUCACCAGCUACUGCUAAAUCGGUCUGGAAAGCUCUUGUAGAUUAUGGUGCUGUACCCAUGGGUUCAAAUGCAUGGGAAGAAUUAAGGAUAAUUCAAGGAAGGCCAGCACCUGGUAAAGAGCUUACCGAUGAAUUUAACGUUCUGGAGGCUAAUCUUUGGAAUGCUGUUUCUCUGAAUAAAGGGUGUUAUAAGGGACAAGAAACCAUUUCUAGGCUUGUUACUUACGAUGGAAUCAAACAAAGAUUGUGGGGAAUUCGUCUAUCUUCGUCUGUAGAACCUGGCAGCAGCAUCUCAGUUGAUGGCAAAAAGGUUGGCAAACUAACCAGUGUCACAAGCAGUGGAGAUACAUCCAAGCCUUUCGGGUUGGGCUAUAUUAGGAAGAAAGCUGCUUCAGAGGGAGACACUGUAAUCAUCGGGGAUGGUGUUGUGGGGACCGUGGUGGAAGUCCCUUUUCUUGGUCGCCAACUCCCGCCAUCAUCAAAGAGUUAAUAAGACAGUUCCAGGUGUAAAAUUCUGUUCCAUUCAAGCACCAAUAAUGAUCUCUUGUAAGUGAGACAUCAUCUCUGCUAAUUUAAGCCUUGCACAAAUGGUUGGGAUAUGAUUGCAUGUGUGCAGUACAGAUCAUCAUCAUUAUAUUACAUAGACAAUCAGACUCCUGCAUGCCUAGCUAGCAAGAACUAUGGUGAAUUUACAUAUGAUUUAGAGACACAUAAACCAAACAAACCAAGAUCGACAGCAAAACUUGAACAUCAACAACAAUCUCUCAGUAUGCUGGCAACUUGGGAUCGUUGCUCUUCACUCAAAUCUGUAGGAAAACCUACGAGAAAUCUGAGUCGAAGGUCGCCUCUCUGACCUUGAUUAUUAGGCAUCCCUUGUCCAGAGCUUGGACUAAAGGGAUUUGAACUCCUAGCUCCAAAUCAUCUCCUUCCCUCUUGAACAUUGAGUGUUUCUUUUCUUCAAUCACAAAGAUCACAUCUGCCGGGAGGCAUCCUGGCCGCUCGUCUCCCUUCCCUUCAAA